CUUGCAUAAAAUAUAUCUUUUAUAAUUAUACUAUUGUAAUAUGUAAAUUAUUACAAUAGUACUUUUGAAUAUUUUUUUAAGGUAAUAACUACGCACAAAAUGAUUAACAGAAUUAAAAGAAACAAAUGGGUUUAAAUUACGCGUAGGCAUUAUACUGUUAUAUACGCGGUGAUUAUUAUUAUUUAAAUUUGAAAUAUAAAUAUGACAGGUUUUUUAUUGUGUUUAAAACGCUUAUCUUAUCAUAUUUAUACAGAUAAUAUUAUUUAUAUAUCUUCAUUAUUAACAAAAUGAUUACAAUUGUAUGGCAACUGUACGAUGUCUACAAUGAAAAAUACUUCUCUUAUUCAAAUGUUAAUUUUACAUAACUUGUCAAUUAUUUACGACGAAGACUUUCUAUAAAUUUAAUGAAUGACGUUUAAUUUGAAAUUAAUUUUCAUUAUUUUAAUUGAAACAUUAAGGAGUAACGGCUGAGUGGGUAUCUCAAUGCCUCAUUGAAAAACUAAUUAACUAAGUAAUUGAAACAUACGUCAAUUGCUAAUAUAAUACCUUGAUGUCGUCUGUUAAAAAUUAUUAUAUUGUAAGGAUAAAUGAAUAUAGCUGAUUAAAUUUAUCUAUAUGUAUAUUUAUAUUUUCUUAUAACAGUGUAAUGAUAAAUAUAUCACGUGCUUCAAGAUUAAUUCACAUACAAGCUUGCUUGUUUAUUCAUAAAUUUUAGUACUUUCAUCAAGAAUUAAAUUAUUUGCUAUCGAUAUAUUAAUUGAAAAUUAUUAUUAUUAUUGAGAAACAUAUUUAUUUAAGUAUUAACUAAAAAAAAAUAUCAAUGUAAUUAUUUUUAUUUAAUUGAUUUCAUA
Molecule: long non-coding RNA, 851 nt
Organism: Microplitis demolitor
Lineage: Eukaryota; Metazoa; Arthropoda; Insecta; Hymenoptera; Braconidae
Exons: 2
Source: RefSeq, a predicted model, not a curated record